Molecule: unclassified non-coding RNA, 956 nt
Filed under: Hevea brasiliensis (rubber tree)
Lineage: Eukaryota; Viridiplantae; Streptophyta; Magnoliopsida; Malpighiales; Euphorbiaceae
Source: RNAcentral
CUUGAUCAAAACUUUGAACCAAAGGUGAGAUUUAUGUGAGAUAAAGCUUUAUGCUUGCUCCCACAAUUUUUGCCAAUCUCCCUAUUUACAUUUUGCACAAUUUUUUUUCCGAGAAUUUUAAUGAUUUGCCUUGAAAGUUUGAACUAGAGUCACGAAAUAGGACAGGGAUUAAGGUAGUCAUCAUUAGAGACUAUUUCAUAAUUGAAUGAACUGAACUGGGCUGAUUUGAAACCCAAUUAAUUUUUUUUUAGCUGCAAAAUUCAAAUUGAAACCGCAUUAAGUGAAAGCUUAGAAUCAGACAUCUUUUUCUUCACCAAACUUAUACCUGACUCUAGAUAGAGAACAUGUGUUCAAUAUAAUUUGCCGGGAUCAGAGAAACAAACAUUUUGAUUCUAAGUUGAGGGGCCAUUUGUGCAACGGUUAUAUUAUGAACAUUGAGUUGGGAAUUCCAUAUUAAAAGAAUAUGAAGUAAAAGAAUAAUAUAUAAGUGGUUGAGUUACAAUAUUAAAUUAGCUAGUCAUUUUGAUGCGUAAAGCAAUGUAACCUUUAUAUAAGUGUGAAUUAAAAUAAAUUAAAUUGAAAUUUGACCAACAUUUUCUUCAAAACUAAGUCAUUUUGAUGCGAAUUUAACAUACUAUGAGAUUGUCAAGUGACAGCUUUGUGGUUGUACUUAAGAGGUUGGGAAUCCCACAUUGAAAAAAAAAAAGUAAAAUUUUCACAUGCUAUCAAGAAUUAAACCCUAGUUAUUAAGAUAAGGAAACUUACAUUCUUAUUAGUUGGAUUAAUAAUACUGAAUUUUUAAAAAUGAUGCUUAAGUAUAAAUUCAUUAAUUUCAGUUUGAAAUAUAAAAUUGUUUAAAGUAGUUUCUUUUGUCUUUGAUUUUUAUGCUAUUUAACAGAAUAGAUGUACUCAUAUCAAUUCUCUUUUCAGAAUUCAGAUUUUGGACUUGCCAAGGA